This is a small nucleolar RNA of Sorex fumeus (smoky shrew), 135 nucleotides long. RefSeq annotates it as small nucleolar RNA SNORA72. NCBI's taxonomy places the organism in Eukaryota, Metazoa, Chordata, Mammalia, Eulipotyphla, Soricidae. The transcript has a single exon. The record is from RefSeq and is a predicted model, not a curated record.
CCUCAAGUAAUCUCAUUGUACUGAUUUUGAAACAAUCAGAACAGACUACACAGCUGCUAUAUAAGUCCAUGCCUGUGUCCCCAGAACAAGCUCUCAACCAACCUUGGUAUGGUUUCAGGAUUGGUGGUGAAAAAU